RNAcentral lists this ribosomal RNA (174 nucleotides) under uncultured vent bacterium. RNAcentral describes it as "partial 16S ribosomal RNA". It matches the Rfam family "Bacterial small subunit ribosomal RNA", at positions 335 to 516 of the family's 1533-position model. The record is from RNAcentral.
CCUCCUACGGGUAGGCUAGCGAGUGGAGGAAUAUUGCACAAUGGGGGAAACCCUGCAUGCAGCAACGCCGCGUGGAGGAUGCACGCAUUUCGGUGUGUAACACUCCUUUUAUUCAAGGAAGAAAAUGACGGUACUUGAAUGCAAUAAGCACCGGCUACUUCCGUGCACGACGCC